UGUAAGUUUCAAUUAUCUGAAGUUAUUCUAGUUACACAGGAAUGCACAAUAUUAAAAUUAACAGAUAUUGAGGCCAAAUAAUCAACAAUAGCUGGAAGCAUGUACCUUGGAAAGAUAUGUCCUCAUUUUGAAAUUGAAUCCCAGACAAAACUCCUGGAAUUUCAGGUUUGGUUACAAAUAUUGAACUUGUAUGAAGUUCACCGAAGUUCAUUUCCAUGGAGCCUGGAGUGAGUUAGGCAUAAAUCAUAACCAGCCGAGGUGGAAGCCCAUAUGCAUACAUUCAUAGGUACAGACAGACAAAC
Molecule: long non-coding RNA, 302 nt
Filed under: Homo sapiens (human)
Lineage: Eukaryota; Metazoa; Chordata; Mammalia; Primates; Hominidae
Description: non-protein coding lnc-TMEM167A-6:1
Source: RNAcentral